Molecule: ribosomal RNA, 468 nt
Filed under: uncultured bacterium
Lineage: Bacteria
Description: partial 16S ribosomal RNA
Rfam family: Bacterial small subunit ribosomal RNA
Source: RNAcentral
GACGAACGCUGGCGGCGUGCUUAACACAUGCCAGUCGAACGGAAAGGCCCUGCUUUUGUGGGGUGCUCGAGUGGCGAACGGGUGAGUAACACGUGAGUAACCUGCCCUUGACUCUGGGAUAACUUCAGGAAACUGGGGCUAAUACCGGAUAGGAGCUCCUGCUGCAUGGUGGGGGUUGGAAAGUUUCGGCGGUUGGGGAUGGACUCGCGGCUUAUCAGCUUGUUGGUGGGGUAGUGGCUUACCAAGGCUUUGACGGGUAGCCGGCCUGAGAGGGUGACCGGCCACAUUGGGACUGAGAUACGGCCCAGACUCCUACGGGAGGCAGCAGUGGGGAAUAUUGCACAAUGGGCGGAAGCCUGAUGCAGCAACGCCGCGUGCGGGAUGACGGCCUUCGGGUUGUAAACCGCUUUCGCCUGUGACGAAGCGUGAGUGACGGUAAUGGGUAAAGAAGCACCGGCUAACUACGUG